This 360-nucleotide ribosomal RNA is filed under the name uncultured Pseudomonas sp. RNAcentral's name for it is "bacterial SSU rRNA". It matches the Rfam family "Bacterial small subunit ribosomal RNA", at positions 1024 to 1382 of the family's 1533-position model. The record is from RNAcentral. Lineage: Bacteria; Pseudomonadati; Pseudomonadota; Gammaproteobacteria; Pseudomonadales; Pseudomonadaceae.
AACGUCUGACACAGGUGCCGCGAUGGCUGUCGUCAGGCUCGUGUCGUGAGAUGUUGGGUUAAGUCCCGUAACGAGCGCAACCCUGUCCUUAGUUACCAGCACGUUAUGGUGGGCACUCUAAGGAGACUGCCGGUGACAAACCGGAGGAAGGUGGGGAUGACGUCAAGUCAUCAUGGCCCUUACGGCCUGGGCUACACACGUGCUACAAUGGUCGGUACAAAGGGUUGCCAAGCCGCGAGGUGGAGCUAAUCCCAUAAAGCCGAUCGUAGUCCGGAUCGCAGUCUGCAACUCGACUGCGUGAAGUCGGAAUCGCUAGUAAUCGUGAAUCAGAAUGUCACGGUGAAUACGUUCCCGGGCCUU